AUUGAACGCUGGCGGCAGGCCUAACACAUGCAAGUCGAGCGGAUGAAGGGAGCUUGCUCCUGGAUUCAGCGGCGGACGGGUGAGUAAUGCCUAGGAAUCUGCCUGGUAGUGGGGGAUAACGUCCGGAAACGGGCGCUAAUACCGCAUACGUCCUGAGGGAGAAAGUGGGGGAUCUUCGGACCUCACGCUAUCAGAUGAGCCUAGGUCGGAUUAGCUAGUUGGUGGGGUAAAGGCCUACCAAGGCGACGAUCCGUAACUGGUCUGAGAGGAUGAUCAGUCACACUGGAACUGAGACACGGUCCAGACUCCUAAGGGAGGCAGCAGUGGGGAAUAUUGGACAAUGGGGGAAAGCCUGAUCCAGCCAUGCCGCGUGUGUGAAGAAGGUCUUCGGAUUGUAAAGCACUUUAAGUUGGGAGGAAGGGCAGUAAGUUAAUACCUUGCUGUUUUGACGUUACCAACAGAAUAAGCACCGGCUAACUUCGUG
This 484-nucleotide ribosomal RNA is filed under the name uncultured bacterium. RNAcentral's name for it is "partial 16S ribosomal RNA". It matches the Rfam family "Bacterial small subunit ribosomal RNA", at positions 30 to 507 of the family's 1533-position model. The record is from RNAcentral.